UUCAAGCACUUCAGGGUCGAUCUACAGGGA
RNAcentral lists this non-coding RNA (30 nucleotides) under Mus musculus (house mouse). Lineage: Eukaryota; Metazoa; Chordata; Mammalia; Rodentia; Muridae. The record is from RNAcentral.